GAUGAACGCUGGCGGCGUGCCUAAUACAUGCAAGUCGAGCGAACGGACGAGAAGCUUGCUUCUCUGAUGUUAGCGGCGGACGGGUGAGUAACACGUGGAUAACCUACCUAUAAGACUGGGAUAACUUCGGGAAACCGGAGCUAAUACCGGAUGAUAUUUUGAACCGCAUGGUUCAAAAGUGAAAGACGGUCUUGCUGUCACUUAUAGAUGGAUCCGCGCUGCAUUAGCUAGUUGGUAAGGUAACGGCUUACCAAGGCAACGAUGCAUAGCCGACCUGAGAGGGUGAUCGGCCACACUGGAACUGAGACACGGUCCAGACUCCUACGGGAGGCAGCAGUAGGGAAUCUUCCGCAAUGGGCGAAAGCCUGACGGAGCAACGCCGCGUGAGUGAUGAAGGUCUUCGGAUCGUAAAACUCUGUUAUUAGGGAAGAACAUAUGUGUAAGUAACUGUGCACAUCCUGACAGUACCUAAUCAGAAAGCCACGGCUAACUACGUG
RNAcentral lists this ribosomal RNA (497 nucleotides) under uncultured bacterium. Its description in RNAcentral is "partial 16S ribosomal RNA". It matches the Rfam family "Bacterial small subunit ribosomal RNA", at positions 28 to 507 of the family's 1533-position model. The record is from RNAcentral.